Molecule: long non-coding RNA, 630 nt
Organism: Cyprinus carpio carpio
Lineage: Eukaryota; Metazoa; Chordata; Actinopteri; Cypriniformes; Cyprinidae
Source: Ensembl
AGACAGACAGACAGACAGGUUUGAUCUCUUUAUGGUCCGUGUUUCCGGCUGUUCGGAGCGUGUCCUGCAGGAGGCGCCGCUGCUCCAGGCUCGCGCGCCGGAAGUGAGUUUGAGUUGAGUUGAGUUUGCAGAAGUUCUGACUCACUGGAGUUCAGAAAGGCAUUAGAUUCUCCCUCCUGCACUUUAAACUCUCCCGCAGCACAUGCAGAAAUACAGCAACGAGCACGUGUUGUACUGACGGGUAUAUCACGAUACUGAAGACGAGCACAGGUGAGCAGACACUACAGAGAUGCGCUUGUAGACGUGAGGAACUCCUGACCCCGGGAUGACCCCUGACCCCACGUGACCUGAGUAGGUCACCGUAGCCACCAGAUCCAGUCUGUAUCCAGACCAGAUGGUGGAUCAGCACCUAGAAAGGACCUCUACAGCCCUGAAAGACAGCGGAGACCAGGACUAGAGCCCCAGAGACAGAUCCCCUGUAAAGACCUUGUCUCAGACGACCACCGGGACAAGACCACAGGAAACAGAUGAUUCUUCUGCACAAUCUGACUUUGCUGCAGCCUGGAAUUGAACUGCUGGUUUCGUCUGGUCAGAGGAGAACUGACCCCCGACUGAGCCUGGUUUCUCCCA